GGUGGGCGGAGCUUGUCAAGCACCAGCGUUGCGGCAUACCCAGAGGAACCACCAGAAAGCGCAUGUGGUUGAGCCAGUCGGACGUUUUGUUGGCCAGCUGAGUCACGAAGAAUUGCAAGAUUGCAGCCAGUCAUAUCCACAAUGUGAGGUGCCACACAAGUGCUCACAACUUUUGGAUGCGCGUGAGAAUGGCGGACAGGACGGCCUGGAUCUCCGCUGGCGAGCAGGUGGACACCACCGGCUGCUUGUGCACCUGCAGCUGCUCCAGUACGUACUGACACACGCGCACGCACACACUCGGGUCACAAUGUGGGCGCAGACGCAUCGGUGGACGGUAGCGCGGGCCAGGCCUACCUGCCCCUGCCAGUCUCCGCCAUGGACCAGGAUGAGACUCUCCGGGAGGGCCGAGUCAGCCAACAGGAUGUGGUUGAGCUGGUCGUACAUGGCCUUCCUCAGCACCUACACACGCAGACGAGUGCUUGCUCUAUAGGGCGCAGACAAGCGGGGCGGUAACGGGCGACCAUGUUUACCGGCGUGCCGUGUGCGAGCUCGGGCGACCUUUCCGAAUCCGAGCUGUUGGCGCGCUCACUCGGCGCUUUGGACUUGAUGGGGGUGCUGCCGCUGCGCUUCUGCCUGGAGGGGGUGUGGCCUCCGUCCAACCUGCAUAUCAACAAACUGUUUCUUAGUGUUGGUCAACAAUAGGUGCCGGGUCGCAGAAUGUGAUCGAGUACUAGGCGUCUACUUUUUGACUGACGCUUCACACGUUCAAAUGACGGCAGUAGAGAUUCAUUCA
Molecule: long non-coding RNA, 793 nt
Organism: Hippocampus zosterae (dwarf seahorse)
Lineage: Eukaryota; Metazoa; Chordata; Actinopteri; Syngnathiformes; Syngnathidae
Exons: 2
Source: RefSeq, a predicted model, not a curated record